Molecule: ribosomal RNA, 480 nt
Filed under: uncultured bacterium
Lineage: Bacteria
Description: partial 16S ribosomal RNA
Rfam family: Bacterial small subunit ribosomal RNA
Source: RNAcentral
GAUGAACGCUAGCGGCAGGCCUAACACAUGCAAGUCGAGGGGGAGGUUACUUUCGGGUAACUGAGACCGGCGUACGGGUGCGUAACGCGUAUACAAUCUGCCUUUCACUGGGGGAUAGCCCGAAGAAAUUUGGAUUAAUACCCCAUAGUAUAGUAAUACGGCAUCGUGAUGCUAUUAAAGCUUAGGUGGUGAAAGAUGAGUAUGCGUUCUAUUAGCUAGUUGGGGAGGUAACGGCUCCUCAAGGCGAUGAUAGAUAGGGGUUCUGAGAGGGAUGUCCCCCACACUGGUACUGAGAUACGGACCAGACUCCUACGGGAGGCAGCAGUGAGGAAUAUUGGACAAUGGUCGGAAGACUGAUCCAGCCAUGCCGCGUGCAGGAUGAAGGUGUUAUGGAUUGUAAACUGCUUUUGUAAGGGAAGAAUAAGGGCUACGCGUAGUUUGAUGACGGUACCUGACGAAUAAGCAUCGGCUAACUCCGUG